CGGUCGGUAACGCCGAGUCCUGCCGCCGACCGGACCGGGACCUCAACCUCAAGGCAUGGAGCGGGGGACCCACACGUUCCUCGGCGCGCCACGUGCGCGCCUCGGGGUGAAGCCGCCAUGCGCGGCCGGGCUCCUCGGCCCGAACCCGACAGCUGACCUCGUAGGCGUGGAGGGUCUUUUU
This 181-nucleotide small RNA is filed under the name Actinoplanes sp. RNAcentral describes it as "c-di-AMP sequence". It matches the Rfam family "c-di-AMP riboswitch aptamer (ydaO/yuaA leader)". Rfam says of the family: This family represents a conserved RNA structure found upstream of the ydaO and yuaA genes in Bacillus subtilis and related genes in other bacteria. Lineage: Bacteria; Bacillati; Actinomycetota; Actinomycetes; Micromonosporales; Micromonosporaceae. The record is from RNAcentral.